GAGUUUGAUCGUGGCUCAGAUUGUACGCUGGCGGCAUGCCUUACACAUGCAAGUCGAACGGCAGCAUGAUCUAGCUUGCUAGAUUGAUGGCGAGUGGCGAACGGGUGAGUAAUACAUCGGAACGUGCCCUGUAGUGGGGGAUAACUAGUCGAAAGAUUAGCUAAUACCGCAUACGACCUGAGGGUGAAAGUGGGGGACCGCAAGGCCUCAUGCUAUAGGAGCGGCCGAUGUCUGAUUAGCUAGUUGGUGGGGUAAAGGCCCGACCAAGGCGACGAUCAGUAGCUGGUCUGAGAGGACGAUCAGCCACACUGGGACUGAGACACGGCCCAGACUCCUACGGGAGGCAGCAGUGGGGAAUUUUGGACAAUGGGCGAAAGCCUGAUCCAGCAAUGCCGCGUGUGUGAAGAAGGCCUCGG
This 416-nucleotide ribosomal RNA is filed under the name uncultured microorganism. RNAcentral's name for it is "bacterial SSU rRNA". It matches the Rfam family "Bacterial small subunit ribosomal RNA", at positions 9 to 420 of the family's 1533-position model. The record is from RNAcentral.